GACGAACGCUGGCGGCGUGCUUAACACAUGCAAGUCGAACGAUGAACCCGGUGCUUGCUCCGGUGGAUUAGUGGCGAACGGGUGAGUAACACGUGGGUGAUCUGCCCUGCACUUCGGGAUAAGCCUGGGAAACUGGGUCUAAUACCGGAUAGGACCAUUGCCUGCAUGGGUGGUGGUGGAAAGCUUUUGCGGUGUGGGAUGGGCCCGCGGCCUAUCAGCUUGUUGGUGGGGUGAUGGCCUACCAAGGCGACGAUGGGUAGCCGGCCUGAGAGGGUGACCGGCCACGCUGGGACUGAGAGACGGCCCAGACUCCUACGGGAGGAAGCAGUGGGGAAUAUUGCACAAUGGGCGCAAGCCUGAUGCAGCAACGCCGCGUGAGGGAUGACGGCCUUCGGGUUGUAAACCUCUUUUAGUAGGGAAGAAGCGAAAGUGACGGUACCUGCAGAAAAAGCACCGGCUAACUACGUGCCAGCCGCCGCGGUAA
Molecule: ribosomal RNA, 484 nt
Filed under: uncultured bacterium
Lineage: Bacteria
Description: partial 16S ribosomal RNA
Rfam family: Bacterial small subunit ribosomal RNA
Source: RNAcentral